GAAGGCGAACUUCCAAGGUGGGAGACGCGCCUCUCAAGCGACGUGGCCGCCUAACUAGCGGCUCCGGUUCGAGUCCGGCGCCUUCC
Molecule: transfer RNA, 86 nt
Filed under: Actinomycetota bacterium
Lineage: Bacteria; Bacillati; Actinomycetota
Description: tRNA-Glu
Source: RNAcentral